This 64-nucleotide transfer RNA is filed under the name Ornithodoros turicata. Its description in RNAcentral is "tRNA-Thr". It matches the Rfam family "tRNA". Rfam says of the family: Transfer RNA (tRNA) molecules are approximately 80 nucleotides in length. The record is from RNAcentral. Lineage: Eukaryota; Metazoa; Arthropoda; Arachnida; Ixodida; Argasidae. RNAcentral also lists the same sequence under 1 other name.
AGUUACAAUAGUUUAAGAAAAACAAAGGUUUUGUAAUCCUUAGUUGAUUGAAUCUUGUAAUUUC